ACCCGAAGUCCGUGAGGUAACAGCAAUGAGCCAGCGGCCGAAGGUAGGGUCAGCGACUGGGGUGAAGUCGUAACAAGGUAGCCGUAGGUGAACCUGCAGAAGGAUCA
This 107-nucleotide ribosomal RNA is filed under the name uncultured eukaryote. Its description in RNAcentral is "partial small subunit ribosomal RNA". It matches the Rfam family "Bacterial small subunit ribosomal RNA", at positions 1419 to 1525 of the family's 1533-position model. The record is from RNAcentral.